RNAcentral lists this ribosomal RNA (497 nucleotides) under uncultured bacterium. Its description in RNAcentral is "partial 16S ribosomal RNA". It matches the Rfam family "Bacterial small subunit ribosomal RNA", at positions 28 to 507 of the family's 1533-position model. The record is from RNAcentral.
GAUGAACGCUGGCGGCGUGCCUAAUACAUGCAAGUCGAGCGAACAGACGAGGAGCUUGCUCCUCUGACGUUAGCGGCGGAAAGGUGAGUAACACGUGGCUAACCUACCUAUAAGACUGGGAUAAAUUCGGGAAACCGGAGCUAAUACCGGAUAAUAUAUUAAACCGCAUGGUUCAAUAGGGAAAGACGGUUUUGCGGUCACGUAUAGAUGGAUCCGCGCCGCAUUAGCUAGUUGGUAAGGUAACGGCUUACCAAGGCAACGAUGCGUAGACGACCUGAGAGGGUGAUCGGUCACACUGGAACUGAGACCCGGUCCAGACUCCUACGGGAGGCAGCAGUAGGGAAUCCUCCGCGAUGGGCGAAAGCUUGACGGAGCAACGCCGCGUGAGUGAUGAAGUUCUUCGGAUCGUAAAACUCUGUUAUUAGGAAAGAACAAAUGUGUAAGUAACUAUGCACGUCUUGACGGUACCUAAUCAGAAAGCCGCGGCUAACUACGUG